AUGAGCACACAGAAUGUAAUUCCUAUGAAACAUAUCAUUGCUCCUGACAUCAGGGCUCACACCUGCAAUGCUCCACAACCUUCAGUCCAUCAAAUGUUCAAUGCUAAAUCCGAUAUUUACAGUUCGGCAGAUGAUACUUCCCGAGUCUCGUAUGCUGACCUAUCAGACCCGAAUUCAUCCAGCUCUUCCACAUUCUGCACAAGCAUGUACUCAUCGUCGUCGACAAAACCCAGUGGAUUUUCUUUCCUGCCCCAUCCUUCUAAAUGUGAGCAGCAGCAGGUAUCAGCUGCAAAAUCAUUGAGCUCUUCUUUGCUGUUUGCUGCUGAUCUGAGCACUGGCGUUCAUGGUGAUCUUGAACAUCCACUUGAUCUCAAGGACUUCCUUAACCUCUCCGGCAACGCUUCUGACAGUAGCUUCCGUGCAGGAGGCAAUGCCAUGGAUUUCAGUGAGCAGCUGGAGUUUCAGUUCUUGUCUGAACAACUUGGGAUUGCCAUCACCGACAACGAGGAGAUCCCUCGGUUAGAUGACAUAUAUGGCAUACCGCCGCAAUGCUCGCCUAUUCUUGUAUCGCCUUCAUCUGACCAUGAGGGUCUGCGCAGUGGGGGUUCUCCGGUCAAAGUCCAGUUGAGUUCAUCACCAUCAUCAUCGGGAGCUACAGCAUGUAGCAAAACGAGAAUGAGAUGGACACUUGAGCUCCAUGAGCGUUUUGUGGAGGCUCUGAAAAAGCUCGGAGGACCGGAAAAGGCAACUCCCAAGGGUGUGCUGAAGCUUAUGAAGGUAGAAGGCUUGACAAUCUUUCACGUAAAGAGCCAUUUGCAGAACUAUCGACAUGUGAAGUAUAUUCCGGAGAAAAAAGAAGUGAAGAGAACCUGUUCAGAAGAUAACAAGGCAAAAUCAGCACCUGGAAUUGAUUCUGGCAAAAAGAAGAGUUUUCAAAUGGCGGAAGCACUACGGAUGCAAAUGGAGGUUCAGAAACAGCUCCAUGAGCAACUAGAGGUGCAAAGGAAAUUACAGCUGCGCAUAGAGGAGCAUGCAAGAUAUUUGCAGCAGAUACUAGAACAACAGAAGGCCAGAAAAUCCCCGGUACCGAAACCAAAGGAGGAAACAGAGGUCAACACCACUUCAGCUCCGUCGCUGAAGCGUAAACUUUCAGACACCAAAAUAGAACACAACUCGCAGAUGGAUAGCAGAAGGCCAGAGCUACAACUUGAUCUUGAAAGUGAACCAUGA
RNAcentral lists this ribosomal RNA (1230 nucleotides) under Triticum aestivum (bread wheat). RNAcentral describes it as "partial small subunit ribosomal RNA". The record is from RNAcentral. Lineage: Eukaryota; Viridiplantae; Streptophyta; Magnoliopsida; Poales; Poaceae.